UUUUUUUCGUGUUUUUCGUUUUCCUUUUCCCUUCUUUUUAGGGGUUAUUUUUCCCGCUCAGGACGAACGCUGGCGGCGUGCUUAACACAUGCAAGUCGAACGAUGAACCACCUUCGGGUGGGGAUUAGUGGCGAACGGGUGAGUAACACGUGGGCAAUCUGCCCUGCACUCUGGGACAAGCCCUGGAAACGGGGUCUAAUACCGGAUACUGACCUGCCAAGGCAUCUUGGCGGGUCGAAAGCUCCGGCGGUGCAGGAUGAGCCCGCGGCCUAUCAGCUUGUUGGUGAGGUAAUGGCUCACCAAGGCGACGACGGGUAGCCGGCCUGAGAGGGCGACCGGCCACACUGGGACUGAGACACGGCCCAGACUCCUACGGGAGGCAGCAGUGGGGAAUAUUGCACAAUGGGCGAAAGCCUGAUGCAGCGACGCCGCGUGAGGGAUGACGGCCUUCGGGUUGUAAACCUCUUUCAGCAGGGAAGAAGCGAAAGUGACGGUACCUGCAGAAGAAGCGCCGGCUAACUACGUGCCAGCAGCCGCGGUAAUACGUAGGGCGCAAGCGUUGUCCGGAAUUAUUGGGCGUAAAGAGCUCGUAGGCGGCUUGUCGCGUCGGUUGUGAAAGCCCGGGGCUUAACCCCGGGUCUGCAGUCGAUACGGGCAGGCUAGAGUUCGGUAGGGGAGAUCGGAAUUCCUGGUGUAGCGGUGAAAUGCGCAGAUAUCAGGAGGAACACCGGUGGCGAAGGCGGAUCUCUGGGCCGAUACUGACGCUGAGGAGCGAAAGCGUGGGGAGCGAACAGGAUUAGAUACCCUGGUAGUCCACGCCGUAAACGGUGGGCACUAGGUGUGGGCAACAUUCCACGUUGUCCGUGCCGCAGCUAACGCAUUAAGUGCCCCGCCUGGGGAGUACGGCCGCAAGGCUAAAACUCAAAGGAAUUGACGGGGGCCCGCACAAGCGGCGGAGCAUGUGGCUUAAUUCGACGCAACGCGAAGAACCUUACCAAGGCUUGACAUACACCGGAAAGCAUCAGAGAUGGUGCCCCCCUUGUGGUCGGUGUACAGGUGGUGCAUGGCUGUCGUCAGCUCGUGUCGUGAGAUGUUGGGUUAAGUCCCGCAACGAGCGCAACCCUUGUCCCGUGUUGCCAGCAACUCUUCGGAGGUUGGGGACUCACGGGAGACCGCCGGGGUCAACUCGGAGGAAGGUGGGGACGACGUCAAGUCAUCAUGCCCCUUAUGUCUUGGGCUGCACACGUGCUACAAUGGCCGGUACAAUGAGCUGCGAUACCGCAAGGUGGAGCGAAUCUCAAAAAGCCGGUCUCAGUUCGGAUUGGGGUCUGCAACUCGACCCCAUGAAGUCGGAGUCGCUAGUAAUCGCAGAUCAGCAUUGCUGCGGUGAAUACGUUCCCGGGCCUUGUACACACCGCCCGUCACGUCACGAAAGUCGGUAACACCCGAAGCCGGUGGCCCAACCCCUUGUGGGAGGGAGCUGUCGAAGGUGGGACUGGCGAUUGGGACGAAUCUAAAAGGGGGGACCCAAAAAGGGGGGGCCCCGCGGGCAAGAGGGCCCCCUGGGGAGGGGGGGGCGGGGGUGGAGGGGCGCUUUGGGGGGGGGGGGUGGCGCCGGGGGUGGGGGGGGGGUGUGGGGGGGGGGGCGGGGGGGUGCACGGGAUGCGCGGGGGGGGGGGGGUUAGGAGGGGGGCGGGCGGCGGUGGGGGGGGGGGGGGGGGGCUCCGGCCGGCGGGGGGGGUAGGGGGGGGGGUUCGCAUGCGUGGGGGGGGGGGGGGGUUGUUUC
Molecule: ribosomal RNA, 1786 nt
Filed under: Streptomyces sp.
Lineage: Bacteria; Bacillati; Actinomycetota; Actinomycetes; Kitasatosporales; Streptomycetaceae
Description: bacterial SSU rRNA
Rfam family: Bacterial small subunit ribosomal RNA (bases 34-1534)
Source: RNAcentral